This 352-nucleotide long non-coding RNA is filed under the name Mytilus galloprovincialis (Mediterranean mussel). Lineage: Eukaryota; Metazoa; Mollusca; Bivalvia; Mytilida; Mytilidae. The record is from RNAcentral.
UUGGCAAUGUAGAAAUCACAUACAAUGUACAAUGUAUUACAUUGAGAAAAUGUACAAUAGCAUCAUGUCAGAGCAAUGUUAUGGUAUUUUGAGUUUUAAAGAUUUAGAAGGUUUUUGUCGUCAAUUAAUUCAUACACGCUUUCAUUGUCGUGUUCUUCAAUAAACUCAUCUGGCUGCAUUGAACGUAGUGGAAUUGGUGGAACAUCUGAACCUCUUUCUCCAUAUUUGAUUGUACCUUUCUUUACCUUCUUUAUAUUUUGUUGGUAUUUGUAACACGCUGCAAUUGCACAUAAAGCCAGUAUGAUGAAACCAGCGCAGACCAUGUAGAUGAGUAUUGCAUAGUUUGUGGCUG